Molecule: long non-coding RNA, 201 nt
Filed under: Homo sapiens (human)
Lineage: Eukaryota; Metazoa; Chordata; Mammalia; Primates; Hominidae
Description: non-protein coding lnc-TMEM33-1:1
Source: RNAcentral
GAUGUCUGGCUUAAACUGGAGCUGGAGCAGCAGGGCUCCAUCCACACCAAAGGCUGCAUGGGUCAGUUUGAGAAACGGCUGCUGGACAACCUGAUCGUCAUUACCUAGGUCUUUGUGAGUAUCACCUUCCUUCAGAUCUUUGGCAUCUUUCUGGCCUGGAACCUCCUGAGUGACAUCAAAGCAGUGAAAGGCAACUGGUGA